UGACCGCUGGCGGCGUGCCUAAUACAUGCACGUCGAGCGAACAGAUGAGGAGCUUGCUCCUCUGACGUUAGCGGCGGACGGGUGAGUAACACGUGGAUAACCUACCUAUAAGACUGGGAUAACUUCGGGAAACCGGAGCUAAUACCGGAUAAUAUAUUGAACCGCAUGGUUCAAUAGUGAAAGACGGUUUUGCUGUCACUUAUAGAUGGAUCCGCGCCGCAUUAGCUAGUUGGUAAGGUAACGGCUUACCAAGGCAACGAUGCGUAGCCGACCUGAGAGGGUGAUCGGCCACACUGGAACUGAGACACGGUCCAGACUCCUACGGGAGGCAGCAGUAGGGAAUCUUCCGCAAAGGGCGAAAGCCUGACGGAGCAACGCCGCGUGAGUGAUGAAGGUCUUCGGAUCGUAAAACUCUGUUAUUAGGGAAGAACAAAUGUGUAAGUAACUAUGCACGUCUUGACGGUACCUAAUCAGAAAGCCACGGCUAACUACGUG
This 495-nucleotide ribosomal RNA is filed under the name uncultured bacterium. Its description in RNAcentral is "partial 16S ribosomal RNA". It matches the Rfam family "Bacterial small subunit ribosomal RNA", at positions 30 to 507 of the family's 1533-position model. The record is from RNAcentral.